Molecule: ribosomal RNA, 467 nt
Filed under: uncultured Cellulomonas sp.
Lineage: Bacteria; Bacillati; Actinomycetota; Actinomycetes; Micrococcales; Cellulomonadaceae
Description: bacterial SSU rRNA
Rfam family: Bacterial small subunit ribosomal RNA
Source: RNAcentral
ACGGGGGCCCGCACAAGCGGCGGAGCAUGCGGAUUAAUCGAUGCAACGCGAAGAACCUUACCAAGGCUUGACAUACACCGGUAACGCCCAGAGAUGGGUGCCCCUUUGUGGUCGGUGGACAGGUGGUGCAUGGUUGUCGUCAGCUCGUGUCGUGAGAUGUUGGGUUAAGUCCCGCAACGAGCGCAACCCUCGUCCUAUGUUGCCAGCGGGUCAUGCCGGGGACUCAUGGGAGAUUGCCGGGGUCAACUCGGAGGAAGGUGGGAUGACGUCAAAUCAUCAUGCCCCUUAUGUCUUGGGCUUCACGCAUGCUACAAUGGCCGGUACAAAGGGCUGCGAUACCGCGAGGUGGAGCGAAUCCCAGAAAGCCGGUCUCAGUUCGGAUUGGGGUCUGCAACUCGACCCCAUGAAGUCGGAGUCGCUAGUAAUCGCAGAUCAGCAACGCUGCGGUGAAUACGUUCCCGGGCCUU